CCCCCUGUCUGCCUCUCUGCCUCAUGUGAACUGGUGUCUGCUUUGCUAAGUGACGUGGUUCCCGGCUGCUGGUGGGGGCUUGGCGCUCUCUGUGGUUCCCUGCACUGUUUGUAGUGGAAAGGGCACCGGGACAAAGUCUGGUCCUGCUGGAGGUUUCUGCCUGUUAAAGGAAGUUUGCCCUUGCCACUGUAACUUGCUAAAUACUGCAAGGUGCAAUGCUCAUGGUGGAUUAAGAUGAGAUCAGACUGGAUCUUGAGAUAACGUUUGUUGUGAUUUGGCGCUAUACAAAUAAAGCUUGAUUGACCAAGAUAAGUUUGGAAACAUCACCAUAUUUGAUAUUGGCAAAAAUCCAAGAUUAUGCAAGGAUGAAGUUGUUUUUGGCAACUUAAGUAGAGAAAAUGUAAAAUUUCUGUAACUGUUUUAAACUGAGUAGAGUUUGAAAAUGAUGGGUGUUCAUGAGAGCUCUGGGGUCCAGAGGGUAAAUGAGAGACACGUCUAUCAAACUUUGAGGCAGCCUUAAGCGUUCGACACAACUUGAACAUUAAGUGUUUUAUUGUUGCAUAAAAAAAUCCUUAAAUCCAGAAAGGUUGAAUCAAACGGGGAACUUUACGUCUCCCACUGCACACCCUUGGAGUUCUCUUUCUCCAGCAGAAGAUCUGAAACUCUAAAUCCUGUGCGCAUGCUGUGUGAACUUCCAUGAACCAGCAUUUUCUUAUGUUAUAUAAUUGCAUUACUGCCACACAUUUAAAGUCUGACACAACACCAAGCGCCGCACGCUGCUGUUUUUUCUAUCUUCUUGGUGACAUUUUGUGCCGCUAAUGUGCAAAGUUUCCCAAGUGCAGCAUUAACAUUGAGCUGCAGAUGUAGCAUCUGCUCCCCACACUCUGUUGCUGUGUGGGCGGGUGUUUGUCUUUCACUUCUUUGUAAAAAAGCUUGAAUGUGCUGCUUCAAAUUAACUGAUCAGCCGUCUCAUCCUUCACUGCGAUGGUUGCACUUCAAAGACUCUUGCUUCUGGCGGCUCAUCCUCAGACUGCAUUGCGUGCUAACAAAGAGAGCUGCUUCCCUCCUGGCCUUUUAGGACUUUUAGUCCACCUUCAAAACUGUGGAACAGCAGAUGUGUCUUCCUGCCCUUGCUGGCUUCUGAACAUCAGGGUCUUACAUUUUCCACCCUGAAAUCAGCGGCAGAGCCUGUGCCUUUUAUUCCACACCUCUCAGCUAAUUCCCCUGGGGUGCUUCCUGUACUUUCCUGCAUCUCCCUCUGCAUCAGUAGGUGUCUCCGCUCUGUCACAUACACCACAUUUUCUCUUGUCCCCACAGUCUACUUUUCCGUCAUCCUUCCCCCCCCCCUUCAGACACACAGGUCUGCCUCUCUGCUUGACUAGUUGACAGAUCAAGUUGGAUGUCUGCCUGCCGCUUUAAGCUUAUCACUGCUGACAACAACAUAGUGAAUCCUGCCCAGUCCACUAAGCAUCUCGGUGUGAUCCCUGGCAGCAAUUUGCCAUAUGAAGCUAUCACUGCAGCCACAAAAUCCUCACGCAUAUUUGUGCUCUUAAAACACGAGUAA
Long non-coding RNA from Notolabrus celidotus (New Zealand spotty), 1564 nucleotides. RefSeq lists it as uncharacterized. The record is from RefSeq and is a predicted model, not a curated record. The transcript is spliced from 2 exons. NCBI's taxonomy places the organism in Eukaryota, Metazoa, Chordata, Actinopteri, Labriformes, Labridae.